Molecule: ribosomal RNA, 441 nt
Filed under: uncultured bacterium
Lineage: Bacteria
Description: bacterial SSU rRNA
Rfam family: Bacterial small subunit ribosomal RNA
Source: RNAcentral
CGAACGCUGGCGGCAGGCCUAACACAUGCAAAGUCGAGCGCCCAGCAAUGGGAGCGGCGCACGGGUGAGUAACACGUGGGAAUAUGCCUCGGGAUCGGGAAUAACGGCGGGAAACUGCCGCUAAUGCCCGGUACGCCUUGAGAGGGAAAGGAGCAAUCCGUCCUGAGAGUAGCCCGCGUUGGAUUAGCUAGUUGGUGGGGUAACGGCCCACCAAGGCUACGAUCCAUAGCUGGUCUGAGAGGAUGAUCAGCCACACUGGGACUGAGACACGGCCCAGACUCCUACGGGAGGCAGCAGUGGGGAGUAUUGGACAAUGGGGGAAACCCUGAUCCAGCCAUGCCGCGUGAGUGAAGAAGGCCUUAGGGUUGUAAAGCUCUUUCGCACGCGACGAUGAUGACGGUAGCGUGAGAAGAAGCCCCGGCUAACUUCGUGCCAGCAGCC